UGCAGCAUUUCUUCUGGUAGUUGCUGUAAUUGUUGCCAUCUUCUGGUUGAGGAAGUGUAACGGAUUCCAGCAAGUUGAUGGAGAAGAAUAAAGAGCAACAUUUGACUUGGUGGAGAGUCAAUAAAUUCACACUUUGCAUGGACACAGAUCCAUAGAGGGCUAAUGCUGCAUUAUCGAUUGUUGCUGUACAAUUAAGCUGUGCCCAGCAGUAAAAAUUAACAGAAUAUGGCAAACAGACUGGACUGGAUGUACGCUAUAAUUGGUGCAACCUUUUCUGUUCAUCAGUCUUAGUGAGAGGAGCUCUGAAUACACAUUUGCUGAAGCCAUGUACCUCAGAAAGCCUCCUGGAUCAGUUGGUGUAUUGAUCUUGGAGCUGGACUUAUUAUAAAUGUGCGGUGGCUUCAAUGUCUUUUUUCUGUAAAACUGUUGUGUAGUAAACAGCAGAACGAGGUUUUCUGCUUAUGAAACA
This is a long non-coding RNA of Fundulus heteroclitus (mummichog), 469 nucleotides long. RefSeq lists it as uncharacterized. The record is from RefSeq and is a predicted model, not a curated record. The transcript is spliced from 3 exons. Lineage: Eukaryota; Metazoa; Chordata; Actinopteri; Cyprinodontiformes; Fundulidae.